RNAcentral lists this ribosomal RNA (404 nucleotides) under uncultured bacterium. Its description in RNAcentral is "bacterial SSU rRNA". It matches the Rfam family "Bacterial small subunit ribosomal RNA", at positions 355 to 776 of the family's 1533-position model. The record is from RNAcentral.
UGGGGAAUAUUGGGCAAUGGGCGCAAGCCUGACCCAGCGAUGCCGCGUGAAUGAUGAAGGCCUUAGGGUUGUAAAAUUCUUUUAGUGGGGAAGAUAAUGACGGUACCCACAGAAAAAGCACCGGCUAACUUCGUGCCAGCAGCCGCGGUAAUACGAAGGGUGCUAGCGUUGUUCGGAUUUACUGGGCGUAAAAUGUGUGCAGGUGGUUUGGUUAGUUGAAAGUGAAAUCCCAGGGCUUAACCUUGGAACUGCUUUCAAAACUGCCAAACUAGAGUACGGUAGAGGAUGACGGAAUUUCUAGUGUAGAGGUGAAAUUCUUAGAUAUUAGAAGGAACACCAAUGGCGAAGGCAGUCAUCUGGGCCGCUACUGACACUAAUACACGAAAGCGUGGGGAGCAAACAGG